RNAcentral lists this ribosomal RNA (471 nucleotides) under uncultured bacterium. RNAcentral's name for it is "partial 16S ribosomal RNA". It matches the Rfam family "Bacterial small subunit ribosomal RNA", at positions 331 to 795 of the family's 1533-position model. The record is from RNAcentral.
CCAGACUCCUACGGGAGGCAGCAGUGGGGAAUAUUGCGCAAUGGGCGAAAGCCUGACGCAGCGACGCCGCGUGAGGGAUGAAGGUCUUCGGAUCGUAAACCUCUGUCAGCAGGGAAGAACGGUCACUGUGCUAAUCAGCAGUGAAUUGACGGUACCUGCAAAGGAAGCACCGGCUAACUCCGUGCCAGCAGCCGCGGUAAUACGGAGGAUGCGAGCGUUAUCCGGAUUUAUUGGGUUUAAAGGGUGCGUAGGUUGUUUUUUAAGUCAGCGGUGAAAGUUUGUGGCUCAACCAUAAAAUUGCCGUUGAAACUGGAAGACUUGAGUGUGUUUGAGGUAGGCGGAAUGCGUGGUGUAGCGGUGAAAUGCAUAGAUAUCACGCAGAACCCCGAUUGCGAAGGCAGCCUUCCGGCGCCCUACUGACGCUGAGGCACGAAAGUGCGGGGAUCGAACAGGAUUAGAUACCCCAGUAUC